This 1241-nucleotide long non-coding RNA is filed under the name Homo sapiens (human). RNAcentral's name for it is "HSALNT0281878". The record is from RNAcentral. Lineage: Eukaryota; Metazoa; Chordata; Mammalia; Primates; Hominidae.
CAGAACUCUAAGAUGACCCACAAUGGCUCAUACCUUUAUAUAAUCUCCUCCCCUUGAGAGUGGGAGGGAGCUAUAUAUGUGAUGGGAUAUCACUCCCAUGAUUACUUUAUGUUAUAAGACACAGUUGACUGUAAGAAAGGGAGAUUAUCCUUAGUGGGGCUGACCUAAUGCAGUGAGCCUUUUAGAGCCAAGAGUUUUCUCCAGAUGGUCACAGAAGAGGAAGGCAGAGUGAUACUGGCUGGCCCAGAAGAAAGCAAACAUCCACGUGAAGCACCUAGGGUCUAUAUGGUAAGGAACUACAAGCAACCUCCAGAAACUGAGCACCGUCCCCAGCCAACAGUUAGCAAGAAAAUAGGGAUCUAAAUUAUAUAACUUCAAGGAAAUAAAUCCUGCCAACAACCAGUGAUCCUGGAAGAGGACUCCAAGCUCCAGAUGAGAGCCACAGCCCUGGCCAAUUCCUUGAUGUCAGCCUGGUGAGACACUAAGCAGAAAAAUCCAGGUGGAACUCCCAUCUCCCAUCCCCCUGGGGCAGGGGAAAGGAAUUUGUGGCAGCUGAAUUCAUACCUCCUGGUGCUAAGGGUCCUAGAGGUAUCUGGCUCCUAAGCAAGCCCGUUUCAAGGGAGGAAGCUGAGAAAGAGGAGCAUCAAUUAUAACCAAGGCCUAUAUUCAUGCCUCUUGCCCAACAAAAUGGUGAACAAGACUCCACCUACUUCAAGGAUUGGGAGAAUAGAGAGUGGAAUGGGAACAACUGGUUGACAUUUGAUGACCUGCAGAUGGGACCUGAAGCAAGCUUCCUACAAUCCUCACUGCUUUGCUGACAUUUGGAACUUUAGUACAGGAUGAGUGGCUUUCACUUAUUUGACUUCAUCAGAGCUGAAGAGGGUCUCUGGCAUGGCUUCUCUCAGGUUUUGAAUCUCCCUGGUUUUGGCUGAGAUUCAUACUUUAUUCAGGCAUUCUGAUUCCACACUCAACAAAACUGGAAUUGAAGCUUCACUUUUAAAAGUGGGAGUUUCAUUUGUUAUUUCUUUAGAGAUUCUGCUGUUUGCUGAUACUGUUAGUAUAAUUUGGUUUUGUUUUGAAAGGUCAAAAGUAUACGUGCAACAACAUGGAUGAACGUUGAAAACAUUAUGCUAAGUGAAGGAAGCCACUCACCAAGGACCACAUACUGUAUGUUUCCAUUUAUAUGAAAUCUCCAGAAUAGGCAAAUUCCUAGAGACAAAAGUCACAUUAGUAGUUGCCGG